Molecule: unclassified non-coding RNA, 874 nt
Filed under: Hevea brasiliensis (rubber tree)
Lineage: Eukaryota; Viridiplantae; Streptophyta; Magnoliopsida; Malpighiales; Euphorbiaceae
Source: RNAcentral
UGACUUGAUAAAGAUAAGUUAAUUCAUAAGAAAGAACUUGACUGUUUCUUCACUUGGAUACCUGAUACAAAUUUUUUUGUCCUUGCACCUUUCUCCUUAGAUCAUCUCUUGUAUUUUUAUUUGUUCUUACAAGAACUAUCAAACUCCAUACCCAUUUGCCAAAGAAAUAGACUAACAGCAGCUUUGUCACAAAAGACCUGAACAGAACAUGUUAUAUGUUUGCCUUGAAAAAAAUCUUCUACACUGCACUGAUUCGAGAGGAUAACCAACAAGACCAGAAGAAACGCCACUCAAGUGAGAGUGGCAGUAAGAGCAUCAAACUAAAAAUGCUUCAACAGAAACUGAGCUUCUUCAUCACUUUUGCAUAAGCCAAAGGGACCGUAGCAGGUUGCCUGAGCCGACGUUUUGAUUUCUUAGACUUUAAAUGUGCAUUAUGUCUCUUCCCCUCCUUCCAGCGCCUAAUCUGGCCAUCCUUCAUCACACGAAAUCUGUCCUUGUAAGACGAAUAAAAUUUCAUUUUGAUUUUCUUGACUUUUGAUGUGAUUGGAGUCAUGGGCUUCCUGCUUUUCAACUUCCUUUUCCUCUGUUUUGCAGUGAUGUACCGCACUUGCAUGAAAGAAAGAGGGAGGAGAGACGAGUGAGUGGGGAACGAAACAGGGCCACCAUGGCAAAGGGGUUUAAAGGUGGGAGAGAGUAUUGACUGUGUGAAGGGUUUGUUAAUAAUGGGAUUGGUAGCAGUGUGGAGAAGACGAUGAGGAGUAAGAGGGUAGUGAUGGGCAUUUGGAGUUGAACGGAGAGCGGCGAGGGACCGGAGCUUAGAGCACCAUCUCUGCAUCUUUGCUCUCUAUUUGGGACUUAGGUUUUUUUGCUUUCG